ACAAUUACCUGUAGAGUUUCUG
This 22-nucleotide microRNA is filed under the name Chrysemys picta bellii (western painted turtle). RNAcentral describes it as "Cpi-Mir-216-P2a_3p* (star (passenger))". Lineage: Eukaryota; Metazoa; Chordata; Testudines; Emydidae. The record is from RNAcentral.